Molecule: ribosomal RNA, 497 nt
Filed under: uncultured bacterium
Lineage: Bacteria
Description: partial 16S ribosomal RNA
Rfam family: Bacterial small subunit ribosomal RNA
Source: RNAcentral
GAUGAACGCUGGCGGCGUGCCUAAUACAUGCAAGUCGAGCGAACAGACGAGGAGCUUGCUCCUCUGACGUUAGCGGCGGACGGGUGAGUAACACGUGGAUAACCUACCUAUAAGACUGGGAUAACUUCGGGAAACCGGAGCUAAUACCGGAUAAUAUAUUGAACCGCAUGGUUCAAUAGUGAAAGACGGUUUUGCUGUCACUUAUAGAUGGAUCCGCGCCGCAUUAGCUAGUUGGUAAGGUAACGGCUUACCAAGGCAACGAAGCGUAGCCGACCUGAGAGGGUGAUCGGCCACACUGGAACUGAGACGCGGUCCAGACUCCUACGGGAGGCAGCAGUAGGGAAUCUUCCGCAAUGGGCGAAAGCCUGACGGAGCAACGCCGCGUGAGUGAUGAAGGUCUUCGGAUCGUAAAACUCUGUUAUUAGGGAAGAACAAAUGUGUAAGUAACAAUGCACGUCUUGACGGUACCUAAUCAGAAAGCCACGGCUAACUACGUG